RNAcentral lists this long non-coding RNA (1621 nucleotides) under Ananas comosus (pineapple). Its description in RNAcentral is "long non-coding RNA (ACOM_LNC010945)". Lineage: Eukaryota; Viridiplantae; Streptophyta; Magnoliopsida; Poales; Bromeliaceae. The record is from RNAcentral.
UUUUUUAUCAAAUAAAUAAAUAUAUAUAAAAUUUAAAUGAAAAUAAUGUUAAGGAAUUAUCCGAUCUUUCUUUAAUCUUGAAAACUUAAAAAUUUUUUUAAUCAAAAUUAUUCUCGAUAAUUUUAUCUGCAUUAAGUGUAUUAAAAAACUGAAAUAUAAUAUAUUUUAGCUUUUGAACAAAACUCUCUUUUUAUUUCAAUCGACAAAACAAUUAUGUGAUUUAUUUUUAAAUAGGAAAAAAAUAAAAUCUAUAAUUUAUUUCAAAAUUACUAUUACUAAUUAGGAAUGUGAAUUGAUAUAGAUACGGAAUUUUAUCUAAACUCGAUUUAAAAUGGGAUAAGUUUAAUCAAUGCUGAAUAGGGGAUAGUUUUAGUUAUAGAUACCAAAAAAUAAAAUCCCGUCGUAUGUAAAUUCAGUUAUAUAGUUUUGGUCUAUAUUUAAACCGAAUCUGAACCGAAACCCAAAACCAAAAACAAAACCAAAAUCAGAUAAAAACAUACUAUAUUUAAAAUACAAUUUUUAUAUAUUUUUUAUUAAUUAAUAUAUAUUAAUAAUUUAAUUAACUAUUUAUAUAUUAAAUACUCAAAUUUAGAUUUACAAAAAUUAUUUUGAAAUACCUAUUAGUAUUUCUACUAUUAAAAAGAGAUAAAGGGUAAAAAUGGUAUUUUUAAAAUUUAACUCCGAUUCAAAUGGGCUUUAAUGAAUCUUAACUAGAGGAGGGUAUUUAUGAUAAUUUUUCACAUUUUGGAGGGUAUUUGUGAUAUUAUUAAUUUUGGAAGGGUAUUGAUGAAAUUAAUAGUUUCUAGAGGGGCAUCUAUGAAAUUAUUCCUAUCUAUAUUUAUAUUUAUAUAAAUAUAUAAAUACUCAGUUGGGAUCCACGUGGCACCGAGGGGCGGAGGUGCGGGCGGGUGCAGGCGCAGGCGCCCUGGCACGAGAGGGGUGCUGGCGCGGGUGGGCCCGGUGCAAGUUGGGCCCAGCCGGGGGAGAGGGAAGGAGAAAUUUUUUUUUCCUCUCUCUGAAAUUUUUUUCGCUCUCCGGAAAAAAAGAUUUAUAAUUUUUUUUAAAUCCAAUCUAUUUUUUUUAUUAUAAAAAUUUAAAAUAUAUAAAUAAUUUUUAAAUAUUUUAGACUGUUUGUAUUAAAAAUAAAUUUUAAUUUUAUAAUAUUGAGCAUUUAGAUAUAGAUUGUAGUUUUUUUUUUAAAUACUUCUUAUAUUUUUACUGUAAUAGCUAUUGUUUCAUCUUCAAUUUCCUUAUUUAUAUUUUUUUUUAUUCUUCAAUUCUUUUUUUCGUUGUUUUUUAUUUUAAAAUCUAAUUCAUUAAAUAAAAUUUUAAAUCAUUAACUUUGUAGGUCAUAUAUAUUUAAUUAAGUUUUAAUAUUAAAAUAUUUAUCAUCUAAUAUAAGUUGUGGUGUAUAGAAUGUUAAUUAAUAUAUAUCGUCUUUAGAGCAAGUGGCAAAGAGCUUGGUGGUUGGUAUCUGAGACCCAAAUUCGAAUCCUAGUUGAUUCACAUUUCUAGCUAAGUUUAUUUCUAAAUAAAAUAAAACGAAACAAAUAGCGUGCCACCUAUCUCUCAAAAUAUAUAUAUACAUAUAUCAUGUGCAUGUAAGAUAAUUUUUUUUCUA